Molecule: ribosomal RNA, 1347 nt
Filed under: uncultured bacterium
Lineage: Bacteria
Description: bacterial SSU rRNA
Rfam family: Bacterial small subunit ribosomal RNA
Source: RNAcentral
GACGAACGCUGGCGGCGUGCUUAACACAUGCAAGUCGAACGAUGAAGCCUAGCUUGCUAGGUGGAUUAGUGGCGAACGGGUGAGUAAUACGUGAGUAACCUACCUUUAACUCUGGGAUAAGCCUGGGAAACUGGGUCUAAUACCGGAUACGACCAAUCUCCGCAUGGGGUGUUGGUGGAAAGCGUUAUGUAGUGGUUAUAGAUGGGCUCACGGCCUAUCAGCUUGUUGGUGAGGUAACGGCUCACCAAGGCGACGACGGGUAGCCGGCCUGAGAGGGUGACCGGCCACACUGGGACUGAGACACGGCCCAGACUCCUACGGGAGGCAGCAGUGGGGAAUAUUGCACAAUGGGCGCAAGCCUGAUGCAGCGACGCCGCGUGAGGGAUGACGGCCUUCGGGUUGUAAACCUCUGUUAGCAGGGAAGAAGAGAGAUUGACGGUACCUGCAGAGAAAGCGCCGGCUAACUACGUGCCAGCAGCCGCGGUAAUACGUAGGGCGCGAGCGUUGUCCGGAAUUAUUGGGCGUAAAGAGCUUGUAGGCGGUUUGUCGCGUCUGCUGUGAAGGCCGGGGCUUAACCCCGUGUAUUGCAGUGGGUACGGGCAGACUAGAGUGCAGUAGGGGAGACUGGAAUUCCUGGUGUAGCGGUGGAAUGCGCAGAUAUCAGGAGGAACACCGAUGGCGAAGGCAGGUCUCUGGGCUGUAACUGACGCUGAGAAGCGAAAGCAUGGGGAGCGAACAGGAUUAGAUACCCUGGUUGUCCAUGCCGUAAACGUUGGGCACUAGGUGUGGGGGACAUUCCACGUUUUCCGCGCCGUAGCUAACGCAUUAAGUGCCCCGCCUGGGGAGUACGGCCGCAAGGCUAAAACUCAAAGAAAUUGACGGGGGCCCGCACAAGCGGCGGAGCAUGCGGAUUAAUUCGAUGCAACGCGAAGAACCUUACCAAGGCUUGACAUAUACUGGACCGCAUCAGAGAUGGUGUUUCCCUUCGGGGCUGGUAUACAGGUGGUGCAUGGUUGUCGUCAGCUCGUGUCGUGAGAUGUUGGGUUAAGUCCCGCAACGAGCGCAACCCUCGUUCUAUGUUGCCAGCACGUUAUGGUGGGGACUCAUAGGAGACUGCCGGGGUCAACUCGGAGGAAGGUGGGGAUGACGUCAAAUCAUCAUGCCCCUUAUGUCUUGGGCUUCACGCAUGCUACAAUGGCCGGUACAGAGGGUUGCGAUACUGUGAGGUGGAGCUAAUCCCUAAAAGCCGGUCUCAGUUCGGAUUGGGGUCUGCAACUCGACCCCAUGAAGUCGGAGUCGCUAGUAAUCGCAGAUCAGCAACGCUGCGGUGAAUACGUUCCCGGGCCU